AGUUUGUCAACAGUCAACACAUUUAAAGAAUUGAAUGAUGUUUUAUUUGAAUUUGGAAUAUAUACUGCGCGUUUGGUUUACUGUGGUGGUUGUUCGUAGAUAUUGAGGUUCAGCACGUUAAGUACAGCUCCAAAAAAACAUGUCAUUUAUCGGAUUUUGGCCAGGAAACUGUGCUUAUGAAACUGCCGGGUGGGUGGGGAGAGAAAUGUUCAUUUCGGAAGUGUUGACAGAAAUGCAUGAAACAGAUGGAGUUGCAGUAGAGCAUGUUGCCAAAAGACAGUCAUGUGUGAGGAAAUAUCUGGACUACUGCUCCGAAAGAUAGAGUAUGGGUACUUUGCUCUUUGAAGUUUCCGUCAAUGCUUCCCACGAUGCUACGCAAUGUGACAGGCUCGUAUUCAUCAUCAUCAUUCUUGCGAAUAGAGAGCAGAAUAGCAGAUAUGUGGCAAGAUAUUCAUCUAGAUGGUCGACUGAUAAAUUGUGGAUUGCCUUUGUUUCGCCUUUCUUGGCAAGAUAUUUUUUAAAUCGACUGACAUCUGCCAGAGUUUUCCGGAUAGUGUUUUUGUUAUCUUCGGCUUAAAUUAAUUUGUGUACAUCUUCGGUUGUUAUUUCUAUGGCGUCUGAUAUGUUUUCACUGUUCUCAGUUUUUGAUUUUGUUUCAGUAAGGGAUUCAAAAUAACUUUUAUCUAAAUUGACAUUUGCAUUCGUGAUUUCAUCAAAUGGUUCAUUAAACACACUCGGAUUUAUUCCAAACUGAUUGGCAAAGUCUUCCUCAGUCAUAACAACUUCCUCCAUUAAACCGUCCCGAACAAUGUCAAACUUACCUCCAUCCACAAAGUCUGACAUGGUAAUGUUUAUUUAUUGUAUUUAUAUAUGUUUCUUAUGUUUAAGUCCUUAUUUUCAAAAGAAAUUAGCUUUUAACGAGCCUUAUCAAACACAAUUCAUGUGACAAAAUUGGCAAACUGUAGAAGACGACAAAUGUAACCUUAAUAAUGAUUUAUGAUUUAAAAUUAUUUCAUUACUUAAUGUAUAUUACAUUGGGUUUUUAUUGUGAAGUGUGUUACUAUUUUAUUUUUUACUAUUUUUACUGCUUUUGUAUUGUUUGUUUUAUUUGUUUGGUCUGUUUAUAUUAAGUGCUGAACUUUUGACCUAACCUUUGCCCUUGAUGUUUGCAUAUGAAGGCAUGUAAAAAAAGUAGUCCGUUUGUUACAUGACGUCAUCAGCAUGUACUUAUUCAUUCUUAAUAUUUGUAAAAUACCUUUUUUCUGUUUUUGUUGUUGUUUGUGGAUUAAAUGUAAUACAUA
Long non-coding RNA from Dreissena polymorpha, 1301 nucleotides. RefSeq lists it as uncharacterized. The record is from RefSeq and is a predicted model, not a curated record. NCBI's taxonomy places the organism in Eukaryota, Metazoa, Mollusca, Bivalvia, Myida, Dreissenidae. The transcript is spliced from 2 exons.